This 408-nucleotide ribosomal RNA is filed under the name uncultured bacterium. RNAcentral describes it as "partial 16S ribosomal RNA". It matches the Rfam family "Bacterial small subunit ribosomal RNA", at positions 28 to 526 of the family's 1533-position model. The record is from RNAcentral.
GACGAACGCUGGCGGCGUGCUUAACACAUGCAAGUCGAACGAAGUGGCGAACGGGUGAGUAUCGCGUAAUCAACCUGCCCUCCAGAGGGGGACAACAGUUGGAAACGACUGCUAAUACCGCAUACUGAAGGAGGGGAUUGCGGCGGCUUAGCUAGUUGGAGGGGAACCGGCCCACCAAGGCGAUGAUCAGUAGCCGGUCUGAGAGGAUGAACGGCCACAUUGAGACUGUGACACGGCCCAGACUCCUACGGGAGGAAGCAGUGGGGAAUCUUCCGCAAUGAACGAAAGGCUGACGGAGCAACGCCGAGUGAGUGAUGACGGCCUUCGGGUUGUAAAGCUCUGUUAAUCGGGACGCGGUACCGGAAUAGAAAGCCACGGCUAACUACAUGCCAGCAGCCGCGGUAAUAC